RNAcentral lists this ribosomal RNA (273 nucleotides) under Escherichia coli. RNAcentral describes it as "partial 23S ribosomal RNA". It matches the Rfam family "Bacterial large subunit ribosomal RNA", at positions 422 to 694 of the family's 2925-position model. The record is from RNAcentral. Lineage: Bacteria; Pseudomonadati; Pseudomonadota; Gammaproteobacteria; Enterobacterales; Enterobacteriaceae.
ACACGUGGUAUCCUGUCUGAAUAUGGGGGGACCAUCCUCCAAGGCUAAAUACUCCUGACUGACCGAUAGUGAACCAGUACCGUGAGGGAAAGGCGAAAAAGAACCCCGGCGAGGGGAGUGAAAAAGAACCUGAAACCGUGUACGUACAAGCAGUGGGAGCACAGAGCAAUCUGUGUGACUGCGUACCUUUUGUAUAAUGGGUCAGCGACUUAUAUUCUGUAGCAAGGUUAACCGAAUAGGGGAGCCGAAGGGAAACCGAGUCUUAACCGGGCG